CCUACGGGGGGCUGCAGUGGGGGAUAUUGCACAAUGGAGGAAACUCUGAUGCAGCGACGCCGCGUGAGUGAAGAAGGCCUUCGGGUCGUAAAGCUCUGUCCUAGGGGAAGAUAAUGACGGUACCCUAGGAGGAAGCCCCGGCUAACUACGUGCCAGCAGCCGCGGUAAUACGUAGGGGGCGAGCGUUGUCCGGAAUUACUGGGCGUAAAGAGUUCGUAGGCGGUCUGAUAAGUCAGAUGUGAAAGGCGUAGGCUUAACCUAUGUAAGCAUAUGAAACUGUCAGACUUGAGGUAAGGAGAGGAAAGUGGAAUUCCUAGUGUAGCGGUGAAAUGCGUAGAUAUUAGGAGGAAUACCAGUGGCGAAGGCGACUUUCUGGACUUAAACUGACGCUGAGGAACGAAAGCGUGGGGAGCAAACAGGAUUAGAUACCCGAGUAGUC
Molecule: ribosomal RNA, 439 nt
Filed under: uncultured Tissierella sp.
Lineage: Bacteria; Bacillati; Bacillota; Tissierellia; Tissierellales; Tissierellaceae
Description: bacterial SSU rRNA
Rfam family: Bacterial small subunit ribosomal RNA
Source: RNAcentral